This 487-nucleotide long non-coding RNA is filed under the name Homo sapiens (human). RNAcentral's name for it is "long non-coding RNA NONHSAT248865". The record is from RNAcentral. Lineage: Eukaryota; Metazoa; Chordata; Mammalia; Primates; Hominidae.
CAUAAAACACUUCACACAGCAGACUGACACACUGCUGUAACAUGCAAAUAGUCAUAUACACAUGAAAACACUUCACACAGCACCCUGACACCCUGCUAUAACAUGCAAAUAGUCAUAUACACAUGAAAACACUUCACACAGCACAGCGACACAUGGCUUUAACACGCAAAUAGUCAUAUACACAUGAAAACACACAGCACACUGACACGCUGCUAUAACAAAUAGUCAUAUACACAAAAACACUUCACACAGCACACUGACACGCUAUUACACGUAGAUAGAUACACGAAAACACUUCACACAGCACACUGACACACUGCUGUAACAUGCAAAUAGUCAUAUACACAUGAAAAUACUUCACACAGCACCCUGACACCCUGCUAUAACAUGCAAAUAGUCAUAUACACAUGAAAACACUUCACACAGCACCCUGACACCCUGCUAUAACAUGCAAAUAGUCAUAUACACAUGAAAACACUUCACACAG